This is a long non-coding RNA of Bos taurus (domestic cattle), 673 nucleotides long. The record is from Ensembl. Lineage: Eukaryota; Metazoa; Chordata; Mammalia; Artiodactyla; Bovidae.
CCCCGACACCAUCCGGCCAAAUUCCCCAGAUAAGGAAACCGAGGCCUGCAGAGGAGAGGCGGCUUGCUGAAGUCCUGGGCAGGGCCAGGAUGGGACCCAGGUCUCAGAACUCCAGCACCAAACUCUUCCUGCCGAAUUAGUCUGCUCCUGGGAGCCAGAGUGCUUCUAUUCCUACAUGAAGAAAGACAAUAUUAGGAAUGCAGAGAGCAAAUCCCAGGUACUUUUAUUAUCCGACUACUCACUGGGAAAGUUGACAAGAGAGAAGGCUGCUCUGUGUGUGCAGAUUUUUUUUCCAUCUGCUGCUCCAAGUGAACUUUCCUCCUUUAUCUGCCCUGCCCUGUGCCCUGGGAAGCUGUCCUAUAUGAACUGCCUCCUACAGUAUCCUUUGUCCUCUGGCUUCCUCCAUUUGGUUGUUGGGAGGCGCAGCAGGAGGGGAUCUUCCCAACCCAGGGAUCCAACCCGCAUCUAACCCUGCCCACACCUCCGUAAACAGUGCCUUCAUUAAACGUCCCUCAGGUUGGCCAACAGGUGAUGAGGAUUCCGUCCCAAGGCCAAUUAAAGACCUGACAUUGGAGGUGGCAACGUGGGAAUCCUCGUCUGUAACUGUGUCCUCCAUUGCAGCAGCCCCCUCCCUACUACCCACAAAUAAUCAAAUAAACUCCCAUCAAGCCAA